Malaclemys terrapin pileata is the source of this 322-nucleotide long non-coding RNA. RefSeq lists it as uncharacterized. Lineage: Eukaryota; Metazoa; Chordata; Testudines; Emydidae. The record is from RefSeq and is a predicted model, not a curated record. The transcript has 3 exons.
CUGCUUGCUGGCUUCUCCUGGAUCCAGAGAGAAAAUCCUCCCUUCAAUUAUGAUAUUGAAAAUAUCCCACAAGUGAAGGAAUGACCCAUAAAUUGAGUCAUGAAGGUCAUAUUCUAUGAAGUGCAGCUAUUUUCCAUAUUUCUGCAAAGGGUACGGAAUCAGACUUUGACAACAAUAGCAAUGACAGCUCCAGGCUGUGUCUACUGACUUCUUCUCUUUUCCUCAAAAGGACAGUUACCACCAUCUAUAAUAUCAUAUAAGAGUUUCUCAAACAAGGAGUUUGUUCCUGCUAAAAACUCUCUCCAGUUAAAGACAAAAGGAA